Molecule: long non-coding RNA, 132 nt
Organism: Pipistrellus kuhlii (Kuhl's pipistrelle)
Lineage: Eukaryota; Metazoa; Chordata; Mammalia; Chiroptera; Vespertilionidae
Exons: 3
Source: RefSeq, a predicted model, not a curated record
CCUGGCCUGCAGGGAAAGUCAUUCACUCUACAUUAUGUUUACUGGGGCCAACAGUAAUGAGUCCUAUGUGGCAAUGCAUGACAGGGAAACAGGAAGAACUAAGGGCUCAGGUAUUCCUAAUUUUUUUCAACA